GGUUAAGCGACUAAGCGUACACGGUGGAUGCCCUGGCAGUCAGAGGCGAUGAAGGACGUGCUAAUCUGCGAUAAGCGUCGGUAAGGUGAUAUGAACCGUUAUAACCGGCGAUUUCCGAAUGGGGAAACCCAGUGUGAUCCGUCACACUAUCAUUACGUGAAUACAUAGCGUAAUGAAGCGAACCGGGGAACUGAAACAUCUAAGUACCCCGAGGAAAAGAAAUCAACCGAGAUUCCCCCAGUAGCGGCGAGCGAACGGGGAGCAGCCCAGAGUCUGAAUCAGCUUGUGUGUUAGUGGAACGGUCUGGAAAGUCCGACGGUACAGGGUGAUAGUCCCGUACACCAAAAUGCACAGGUUGUGAACUCGAAGAGUAGGGCGGGACACGUGGUAUCCUGUCUGAAUAUGGGGGGACCAUCCUCCAAGGCUAAAUACUCCUGACUGACCGAUAGUGAACCAGUACCGUGAGGGAAAGGCGAAAAGAACCCCGGCGAGGGGAGUGAAAAAGAACCUGAAACCGUGUACGUACAAGCAGUGGGAGCCUACUUGUUAGGUGACUGCGUACCUUUUGUAUAAUGGGUCAGCGACUUAUAUUCUGUAGCAAGGUUAACCGUAUAGGGGAGCCGAAGGGAAACCGAGUCUUAACUGGGCGUUAAGUUGCAGGGUAUAGACCCGAAACCCGGUGAUCUAGCCAUGGGCAGGUUGAAGGUUGGGUAACACUAACUGGAGGACCGAACCGACUAAUGUUGAAAAAUUAGCGGAUGACUUGUGGCUGGGGGUGAAAGGCCAAUCAAACCGGGAGAUAGCUGGUUCUCCCCGAAAGCUAUUUAGGUAGCGCCUCGUGAACUCAUCUUCGGGGGUAGAGCACUGUUUCGGCUAGGGGUCAUCCCGACUUACCAACCCGAUGCAAACUGCGAAUACCGAAGAAUGUUAUCACGGGAGACACACGGCGGGUGCUAACGUCCGUCGUGAAGAGGGAAACAACCCAGACCGCCAGCUAAGGUCCCAAAGUCAUGGUUAAGUGGGAAACGAUGUGGGAAGGCACAGACAGCCAGGAUGUUGGCUUAGAAGCAGCCAUCAUUUAAAGAAAGCGUAAUAGCUCACUGGUCGAGUCGGCCUGCGCGGAAGAUGUAACGGGGCUAAACCAUGCACCGAAGCUGCGGCAGCGACACUAUGUGUUGUUGGGUAGGGGAGCGUUCUGUAAGCCGUUGAAGGUGUAUCGUGAGGUAUGCUGGAGGUAUCAGAAGUGCGAAUGCUGACAUAAGUAACGAUAAUGCGGGUGAAAAACCCGCACGCCGGAAGACCAAGGGUUCCUGUCCAACGUUAAUCGGGGCAGGGUGAGUCGACCCCUAAGGCGAGGCCGAAAGGCGUAGUCGAUGGGAAACAGGUUAAUAUUCCUGUACUUGGUGUUACUGCGAAGGGGGACGGAGAAGGCUAUGUUAGCCGGGCGACGGUUGUCCCGGUUUAAGCAUGUAGGCGGAGGUUCCAGGUAAAUCCGGUACCUUUUAACGCUGAGGUGUGAUGACGAGGCACUACGGUGCUGAAGUAACAAAUGCCCUGCUUCCAGGAAAAGCCUCUAAGCAUCAGGUAACACGAAAUCGUACCCCAAACCGACACAGGUGGUCAGGUAGAGAAUACCAAGGCGCUUGAGAGAACUCGGGUGAAGGAACUAGGCAAAAUGGUGCCGUAACUUCGGGAGAAGGCACGCUGAUAUGUAGGUGAAGUGAUUUACUCAUGGAGCUGAAAUCAGUCGAAGAUACCAGCUGGCUGCAACUGUUUAUUAAAAACACAGCACUGUGCAAACACGAAAGUGGACGUAUACGGUGUGACGCCUGCCCGGUGCCGGAAGGUUAAUUGAUGGGGUUAUCCGUAAGGAGAAGCUCUUGAUCGAAGCCCCGGUAAACGGCGGCCGUAACUAUAACGGUCCUAAGGUAGCGAAAUUCCUUGUCGGGUAAGUUCCGACCUGCACGAAUGGCGUAAUGAUGGCCAGGCUGUCUCCACCCGAGACUCAGUGAAAUUGAACUCGCUGUGAAGAUGCAGUGUACCCGCGGCAAGACGGAAAGACCCCGUGAACCUUUACUAUAGCUUGACACUGAACACUGGUCCUUGAUGUGUAGGAUAGGUGGGAGGCUUUGAAGUGUGGACGCCAGUCUGCAUGGAGCCAUCCUUGAAAUACCACCCUUUAAUGGCUGGUGUUCUAACGUGGACCCGUAAUCCGGGUUGCGGACAGUGUCUGGUGGGUAGUUUGACUGGGGCGGUCUCCUCCUAAAGAGUAACGGAGGAGCACGAAGGUUAGCUAAUCCUGGUCGGACAUCAGGAGGUUAGUGCAAAGGCAUAAGCUAGCUUGACUGCGAGAGUGACGGCUCGAGCAGGUGCGAAAGCAGGUCUUAGUGAUCCGGUGGUUCUGAAUGGAAGGGCCAUCGCUCAACGGAUAAAAGGUACUCCGGGGAUAACAGGCUGAUACCGCCCAAGAGUUCAUAUCGACGGCGGUGUUUGGCACCUCGAUGUCGGCUCAUCACAUCCUGGGGCUGAAGUAGGUCCCAAGGGUAUGGCUGUUCGCCAUUUAAAGUGGUACGCGAGCUGGGUUUAGAACGUCGUGAGACAGUUCGGUCCCUAUCUGCCGUGGGCGCUGGAGAAUUGAGGGGGCUGCUCCUAGUACGAGAGGACCGGAGUGGACGCAUCACUGGUGUUCGGGUUGUCAUGCCAAUGGCAUUGCCCGGUAGCUAAAUGCGGAAGAGAUAAGUGCUGAAAGCAUCUAAGCACGAAACUUGCCCCGAGAUGAGUUCUCCCUGAGACUUUAAGUCUCCUGAAGGAACGUUAAAGACGAUGACGUUGAUAGGUCGGGUGUGUAAGUGUAGCGAUACAUUGAGCUAACCGAUACUAAUGAACCGUGAGGCUUAACCUU
RNAcentral lists this ribosomal RNA (2902 nucleotides) under Citrobacter freundii. RNAcentral's name for it is "23S ribosomal RNA". It matches the Rfam family "Bacterial large subunit ribosomal RNA". Lineage: Bacteria; Pseudomonadati; Pseudomonadota; Gammaproteobacteria; Enterobacterales; Enterobacteriaceae. The record is from RNAcentral.